GACUCUCUUCAAGAAAAAGACAAUAUAGUUCAAUAAGAUUAAUCAAAAUAAUCAAAGUCAGAUAUCCAGGCAAGUAAAAUGCGUUACAAUAAGGAAAUUUGGAACCAACGUAACUAAGAUGAAUCUGAAAGGGGAAAAAAUAUAAGAUAGUGCUGACAGCCUGACACUAGGCUCACACAAUGCGUCAGUGUGAGUUGCUUUGCAGUCCACUCUUACAUAUAAA
RNAcentral lists this long non-coding RNA (223 nucleotides) under Prunus persica (peach). RNAcentral's name for it is "long non-coding RNA (PPER_LNC007400)". The record is from RNAcentral. Lineage: Eukaryota; Viridiplantae; Streptophyta; Magnoliopsida; Rosales; Rosaceae.